AUGGCGGCCAAGGUGCUCCAGCUCCGCAGCGCCGACGGCAAGGUGCUCGUCGCUCCGGCGUGGGACUAUCGUCCGGCCGCCGCCCAAGCCCUCCCGCUGGAGAUGCGGGUGCCCUCGCGCGCCCUCGAGAGGGUGCUCCAGUACUGGACCAAGCACAGCCUGGCCAAGGCCACCGGUGAGUCCCGGGAGUCCCUCGCCCGCUGGGACGCCGACUUCCAGCGCCGUCUCGACGAAGACGGCAUCGCCAAGGAGGCCGCCGCAGCCGUUCAAGAACUCCGCCGCCACGGCGUCCACCAUGGAGGGCGUCCCCGUCGCCACGCCGGCACGGGCGCAUCUGGUGUCGCUGCUCCAGCCACCGCCACCCGUGCUGAUCCCGUCCGUGCCUGGUGCCAACUCGUUCACCACCUCAAGGGUGUCGACCACGGAGAACCUAGCCCAGCGCCGACGGCGCCCAUCACUUUCCAUGCCUCCGAUAUUGCCGUCGCCGCGCGCCCUGGGCCUGCCACCACCUUGCCGGCCGCUGCUGGUGCUCAACCCGUUGGUGUCCGGUGCGCCAUCCGUGCCCGUGGACGCCAGAUGGCUGAAGACGAGGAGUCCGCUUGCCACCACCGCAAGCUCCCGGCUUCCAAGCCUCGCUCUUCGGUCUGCCUGCCUGCCACUGCUGCUGCGCCCGUGAAGAAGGUCUCUCGUCAGGUCGCUUCCAAGGCUUGCUCUUUCGUCGGCUCUACACCACUGCCUGCCACUGCCACUGCUGUGAAGAAGAUGACUCCAGCAGCUUCAACUCUGCGCGCAAGAAGGGGGAUGGGGGAGCUCAGCUGCAAGGUUCCGAAGCAAAACCAAUCGCCAUUGCCUGUCAUUGCUGUUGCAGCACCAAUGAAGCAACCAAUUCCUUGGCUGCGUCCAGUGGUAUCACGCCUUCCCUAG
RNAcentral lists this ribosomal RNA (924 nucleotides) under Triticum aestivum (bread wheat). RNAcentral's name for it is "partial small subunit ribosomal RNA". The record is from RNAcentral. Lineage: Eukaryota; Viridiplantae; Streptophyta; Magnoliopsida; Poales; Poaceae.